GACGAACGCUGGCGGCGUGCUUAACACAUGCAAGUCGAACGGAAAGGCCCUGCCUUUGUGGGGUGCUCGGGUGGCGAACGGGUGAGUAACACGUGAGUAACCUGCCCUUGACUUUGGGAUAACUUCAGGAAACUGGAGCUAAUACCGGCUAGGAGCUCCUGCUGCUUGGUGGUGGUUGGAAAGUUUCGGCGGUUGGGGAUGGACUCGCGGCUUAUUAGCUUGUUGGUGGGGUAGUGGCUUACCAAGGCUUUGACGGGUAGCCGGCCUGAGAGGGUGGCCGGCCACAUUGGGACUGAGAUGCGGCCCAGACUCCUACGGGAGGCAGGGGUGGGGAAUAUUGCACAAUGGGCGGAAGCCUGAUGCGGCGACGCCGCGUGCGGGAUGACGGCCAUCGGGUUGUAACGCGCUGUCGCCUGUGACGAAGCGAGAGUGACGGUAAUGGGUAAAGAAGCACCGGCUAACUACGUG
RNAcentral lists this ribosomal RNA (468 nucleotides) under uncultured bacterium. Its description in RNAcentral is "partial 16S ribosomal RNA". It matches the Rfam family "Bacterial small subunit ribosomal RNA", at positions 28 to 507 of the family's 1533-position model. The record is from RNAcentral.